UACGGGGGGAGCAAGCGUUGUUCGGAUUUACUGGGCGUAAAGGGUGUGUAGGCGGUUCACUAAGUUCGGUGUGAAAUCUCCCGGCUUAACUGGGAGGGUGCAUUGAAAACUGGUGGGCUUGAGUAUGGGAGAGGUAAGCGGAAUUCCUGGUGUAGCGGUGAAAUGCGUAGAUAUCAGGAGGAACACCUGUGGUGUAGACAGCUUACUGGACCAUCACUGACGCUGAAACACGAAAGCGUGGGUAGCAAACAGG
This 253-nucleotide ribosomal RNA is filed under the name uncultured bacterium. RNAcentral describes it as "partial 16S ribosomal RNA". It matches the Rfam family "Bacterial small subunit ribosomal RNA", at positions 524 to 776 of the family's 1533-position model. The record is from RNAcentral.